UACCAGCACCCCGAGUGGUCGGGACGAUUAUUGGGCCUAAAGCAUCCGUAGCCGGUUCUACAAGUCUUCCGUUAAAUCCACCUGCUUAACAGAUGGGCUGCGGAGGAUACUAUAGAGCUAGGAGGCGGGAGAGGCAAGCGGUACUCGAUGGGUAGGGGUAAAAUCCGUUGAUCCAUUGAAGACCACCAGUGGCGAAGACGGCUUGCCAGAACGCGCUCGACGGUGAGGGAUGAAAGCUGGGGGAGCAAACCGG
This 253-nucleotide ribosomal RNA is filed under the name uncultured bacterium. RNAcentral's name for it is "partial 16S ribosomal RNA". It matches the Rfam family "Archaeal small subunit ribosomal RNA", at positions 474 to 727 of the family's 1478-position model. The record is from RNAcentral.